CCAAAAAAAAUAAAAAAUAAGCUUGGUCCUGGGCUCUGUCCUCGUGGCCUAGGGGAGCAUAGGGCUCUGCCCAGUGAUGUAUAGGUCCUUUUCACAAUGUUGGAUAUGAAGCCGGGCUUUGUGUCUGCGCCUGCAUAUUCCUAUAGCUUCCCAGAGUCCUGUGAACACUGUGCACUCUGGGGAGAUAAACCAUGCAGAAAACAAUA
This is a small nucleolar RNA of Dipodomys ordii (Ord's kangaroo rat), 206 nucleotides long. Its record names the gene SNORA73. It matches the Rfam family "Small nucleolar RNA SNORA73 family". From Rfam's summary of the family: U17 (SNORA73A and SNORA73B) also known as E1 belongs to the H/ACA class of small nucleolar RNAs (snoRNAs). Vertebrate U17 is intron-encoded and ranges in length from 200-230 nucleotides, longer than most snoRNAs. The record is from Ensembl. Lineage: Eukaryota; Metazoa; Chordata; Mammalia; Rodentia; Heteromyidae.